GGCCUACGGGGGGCAGCAGUCGGGAAUAUUGCGCAAUGGAGGAAACUCUGACGCAGUGACGCCGCGUAUGGGAAGAAGGUUUUCGGAUUGUAAACCAUUGUCGUUAGGGAAGAAGAAGUGACAGUACCUAAGGAGGAAGCCCCGGCUAACUACGUGCCAGCAGCCGCGGUAAUACGUAGGGGGCGAGCGUUAUCCGGAUUUACUGGGUGUAAAGGGGGCGCAGACGGCCAUGGCAAGCCCGGUGUGAAAGGUGCGGGCACAACCCGCAGACUGCACUGGUAACUGCCUGGCUGGAGUGCCGGAGG
This 305-nucleotide ribosomal RNA is filed under the name uncultured bacterium. RNAcentral describes it as "bacterial SSU rRNA". It matches the Rfam family "Bacterial small subunit ribosomal RNA", at positions 335 to 655 of the family's 1533-position model. The record is from RNAcentral.